RNAcentral lists this ribosomal RNA (539 nucleotides) under uncultured bacterium. Its description in RNAcentral is "partial 16S ribosomal RNA". It matches the Rfam family "Bacterial small subunit ribosomal RNA", at positions 355 to 887 of the family's 1533-position model. The record is from RNAcentral.
UGGGGAAUUUUGGACAAUGGGCGAAAGCCUGAUCCAGCAAUGCCGCGUGUGUGAAGAAGGCCUUCGGGUUGUAAAGCACUUUUGUCCGGAAAGAAAUCCUUGGCUCUAAUACAGUCGGGGGAUGACGGUACCGGAAGAAUAAGCACCGGCUAACUACGUGCCAGCAGCCGCGGUAAUACGUAGGGUGCAAGCGUUAAUCGGAAUUACUGGGCGUAAAGCGUGCGCAGGCGGUUUGCUAAGACCGAUGUGAAAUCCCCGGGCUCAACCUGGGAACUGCAUUGGUGACUGGCAGGCUAGAGUAUGGCAGAGGGGGGUAGAAUUCCACGUGUAGCAGUGAAAUGCGUAGAGAUGUGGAGGAAUACGAUGGCGAAGGCAGCCCCCUGGGCCAAUACUGACGCUCAUGCACGAAAGCGUGGGGAGCAAAACAGGAUUAGAUACCCUGGUAGUCCACGCCCUAAACGAUGUCAACUAGUUGUUGGGGAUUCAUUUCCUUAGUAACGUAGCUAACGCGUGAAGUUGACCGCCUGGGGAGUACGGUU